Long non-coding RNA from Cavia porcellus (domestic guinea pig), 4837 nucleotides. RefSeq lists it as uncharacterized. Lineage: Eukaryota; Metazoa; Chordata; Mammalia; Rodentia; Caviidae. The transcript has 3 exons. The record is from RefSeq and is a predicted model, not a curated record.
AUGCAGGAGUGUUAAACAAAGGGGUGACAUUUAGUCUUCGGAUUAGAGAUUUUUUUUUAAUAAGAAUGAGGGUUCCUUUUUUCCUCUGCAUACCUCUGGCAUGGGGAGAGUGGUGGUUAAGCACAGGGUGGCUGUGACCCAGCUGCUUUGUGGAUUUUGACUCUGGACCAGAUCACGGUGCUCUGUGCUUCUGCUGCUCUCUGUGGGGCUGGCUGGGCAGUGGAGCUGGGAGGAUUCAGGGCCAUGCAAGAAAGAGGCGCAUGGAGAGGGGAGCUGGAGCUGGAGGGGCCUCCCAGCCCUGCAGGGCCUGGACUGCUUAUCUCAGCGGCAGCAGCCCCGCAUCUCUGAGGCAGCAAAGCUAGAAGCUGUCAUUUCAAGUGCAGGACUGUGAAGGAGCCAGCAAUCUUACACCUAUGACUCAGGAGAGGAAACUGAGGCUCAGUAAGGUCAGGGGUCUUGCUUACGGAAACAGAACAAGCCAGAGACCAAGCCCAGGCCAACGGCUCUCCCACAGAGCAGGUGGUGGCAGCUCCACGGUUUUCAUUCCCCGCACCCUGGUUCUCAGGGAGAUGGGCCUUCUGCACCUCAUGGGCACUCCCGAUCCUCAAGUUCUCAGGUACUGCGCUGAACCCUGAGCCAGAGUGUUGGUUAUGAGACUUUCACAGGCACACUGCAAACACACCAUGGCACCACUGCCUCUGGGAGUCCGUGGUGCCUGCACAAAGGUGGGUAUUUUCCAGAGUGACUGCUAAGUGAAGAGAAACCAGCAUCCAAACUCUCGAUUCCCGGAUGUAACAGUGGCCCAGGACCCAGGAAAGGGAGGGAGGGCAGGAUUCCUAUGGAGAUGGCAUUCUGGCUCACAGCAGCAGACUGGCGGCAAGCUGUCCUCGCACUCCUGAGAAGAGAGAUGAGCAGCCCUGGAGCAGUGUGUGGCCAUGGAUGUGUUACCUGACCUACUCGGCCCGUAAGUGUUCUUAGACUUCAUCAUCAGCAUUUAAAGUCAGAUGACUUCAUGGGGAACUCGACUUCCAGCUUCCUUUGGAAGAUGAGACCCCGGCUGCUUGGGUCUGCCUCGCACCGUCUGCUGCCACCUCACAUCCAGGCUGCUUGUCUAGCAGGUCACCUGAGUGGCCUCCACAGGCAUGGGAAUCUCCAGCCUCAUUCUAGAGUCUAGGGAGCCCUCACAACAGCUGUUAUUUGUAAGGAAAAUUUCCAAACAUGCAUUACAACUGUUUUCUUUGAAGAGCUGGAGAUAGGUGAGCAAUGGCUGAGGUUAGGGACCUGGCAGUGGGAGAGGGGCACCUGGUCCACUGAGGACAUUCUGCUAGCCCAGAGCUGGUGAGAAGUCCCUCAGGCAAGGCCACCCUUCUGAGGAUGGUGCCUGUUCUUCCACCCUUUCUGGAAGCUCUAACAAAAUGCAGAGGGUAUUGAAGCACAUGAGGGGACCCCUGGGGCUCUGUGAACCUGGAGCUGGACCAGGAGUCUGUCAGGAAGGCUGGGAGAGGCAGGAAUCUCCAGCACACUCAGGAGGUCACCGGGUCUGGCUUUGGGCAUUAGAGCCAAGCCUUCCCAGGAGGCCUCCAGCUAACACUGGCAUUUCUGACUAUUCACAUGGACACCUGAUCUGUGUCAAAGCAGCAUCAUUGAGUGGAGAAGUCUGCUUGCUGACCUUGGGAAAGCAAAUCUCUUCUCCACGAUGGCCCUGAUGAUUUCAAGGUGGUAGCAUCGGGUGGGAAGCAGACAACCCAGACUUGCACCCAUCCUCCCCUGUGCUCCAGGCUGGCUAGGCAGCCACCAGCAGGAUCAUGUUUUGAGGGGUCACAUGGUGUGACUGUCUUGAGAGCAGAGCCAUACUGUCCUCCAGCAGUGCAAGGCCGCUGGGUGUUUGGGGGCAGGUGGGGCUGGCGGGGCGAAGGGAGCACUACAGUCAGAUAGAAGCAGGAUGGCAAAAAUAGACAAAGACAAAAGAGACCGGGGAGAAGUGUGGGCCCCUCAGACACCGACACGGUACAGUGCAAGUCUGAGAUGAUGUAAAUUAAACCCUGAGAAUAAAUAAAAUCAGAAGUAUGGCAAGGGAGCUGUCAUUUGGCUUGUACCUAGCACUGGCUGGAAAAUAAUGAGGGGAAGAAAAAGCCACCAGCACAUGUCUGCUCCAUCGGUCACCUUCUCCUUCUGCUCUCCCCCACCCUGGGGCUCCCCAGCGCCGCAGCCAGGGUUGGUCGCUGCCUCGUCUGCUGCUCUUUGCUUCUCAGGCUCCUUGCCCCUCUCUCUUCCCUUCCUCGGCCUGCUUCUAUUCUUCACCCCCUGCCAUUCUCCAGCCUGCUCUGCUGGCCCAUGUCCUGAACUGCUCCCCAUGGCCUCCUCCGGGGACCUCUGAGGGCCAUGGCGCCCUCUCUGGCCUCCGUGUUCCACGCCUCUCUUUCCAGCCCAGCCACUCCUCUCGGAGCCCAUCUAGCAUUCUCUGCUCCCUCUCUCCCCACUGCCUCUUGCUCAUGGGCAUCCCUUUGCUGGGUACCUCUUUCCCCAGCUUAGCACAGGGAAGGUGAAGGACAGAGCUGGGCUUGAUCCCAGUUGGCCCACAUCCUCAAACCUUCGCUCUCACACAAGCCUAGAUUUUCCCAACAGCAUCCUGUUCCAGAAUCAAGUUCCAAGUAUCUUGAAAUGGUGUUCUCCUCUAUGUGGGUGUAGUGGGGCCACUGGUCUUGUGCUAAUAACUGGUUUCUGUGUGCAUGCUGUGAGAUGAGAAAGGCCGGGAGGUCUUGCCUGAGCUGGCCAAGGGCCUUCUGCUCCCUAGGCGCGCCCACUGAGGUGCCUAACACCCAAGCUCCUGCCUGUGCACAAAGCCCCAGGUCAAGGGUCUGCAUGUGGGGAUAACUGUUCCCAGGCCUUAGAAACAUCAGGGGCCUAGAAGUGAGUGAAGCUGCCAGGAGGCCUUGUCUGAGCAGCCCAGCCUCCAUCCCAGCCAGGCUGGCACCUCUCCUAGCCAGCUGUGGACCUCGAGGCAGUAGGGCUGCUCCUGUUCAGCCGUGGCCUGUUUCCGCAGAUGCUGGCCCUUAUCACCUUCUCCCAGGGGCUGCUUACUACUCAGUGCACGGCCUGGCUGGUUGUUCAUGGAGACUCCCUGCUGUCACGUCCGAAUCCAGGUUGGCGUGAACAGGGAGGUGACAGAACUAGGGUGCAAAGAGGCUUUCCAUCAGUGCGCUGCGCCUUGGGAAUCCUGCCAGAGCUCUUCCGCUCCACUGCUGCUCUGCAUGUGCACUCAGUUUCAUGGAUCUCAGUUUCACUAGCUCUGCUUGCCAACACUAGAUUUUUAGUAGGGCCAUCAGCAUCAGUCCCACCAUGCACAGAACUGAGAGCUCAGGAACGGGCUGGAACUUACUCAAGAUUGCACAGCACAAAGACUGAGCAGCUGGCACUUGAGCUCUGAUGUCCGACUCUGAGCACAGGGUCCUUUCCGUUGUUUGUGGUCCUCCCUGGAACUCUGGCUAGCUUUCAAAGUAUUGCUCACCAAGGAACAAGAAAGCCUGGGUGAACCUCAAGUGUUUCCUCUGCAGUCUCUGUUCUCCCAGUUUAUACUUUGCUUUUCCUUAGUGCAGACAGCCUGGGAGCACUGCAGGCAUUGGUAAAAUGGGCAGCCCCUGGCCUUGAAGUUGGAUCAGGGUUCAGGCCCAGGACUGUUACGUGCUUUCUGUGCGUCCCAGGGUCUGUGAUCCAUGCUGGAGUCCCCUGUGCAGAGGGGCGUUCUGAGUAUUCAAGCAAUAACCUAGGAAGACAAAAGACUACAGAGCCAGGACACACAUGCAUUCCACAGACACAUGGCAAAGAACAAUACAGCCAUUUCAUCUUCUUGUUGUCAUUCAGAGAAGCAAGCGUAUUGGGAGCCACAAAAGUGCAAUGUUGCAGAGACUCUUCCAAAAUAGGAUGUUGUAAUUGCUGCCACCACCACUGUGGGUGGUGUGUGGGAAUCCCUGGGUGGCAGCAGGCCACAGGAGAAUGUCACAGCUCUCCCCUGCAGCGGGGCUCAUCUUUCUUGGCCCGUUCUUUCCCUCCCUGCCAGUGCUUCUCCUCCACGCAGUUACGGUGGUGAUAUACUGCUUCUCAGUGCACCCCACACACAUCCAUGGGCAGCACAUUUAAAGGGGUAAACAUCCAAAAAUUCAAUAUGCAUGCGUUUUUAUGAGGUAACAUUAUUCUACUUUGUAGAAUCUGCCACAGGCUCCUACAACUUUUCUUUGGAAAGUGUUUGCUCAGGAUGAGGGAACCAGACGGAGAGUAAUUCAGUCUGUAGGACAAGUUGACUGAGACUGGACAGUGGUCCAAAUCUUGCACAAGAAGAAAUGUCUUUUGGAACUGUGCCCUUGGCCAGCGGAAAAUUACUAGACUUCAGCCCACCGAAGCAAAUCAAAGCCUACGGUUCCUCUUCCUUAAGGAGCAGCCUGAUGCCCUGUUUUCCUGGUCAGUGCGGUCCCCCUUCAGCUGAAACCCCAAGUAAAGCUUUGUUUGCCUGUGUAUGUGCUUGCACUAUUUUGCUUGUUCCUGUUUCUAUCAAUCUACGAAAAAAGAUCUCAGUAACAAUUCCAGCAGCCUCAAGGGUAGUCAGAUUGGCGAUGCUCAAGUGCGUUGUGUGACGUGGCACAGUAUUUACACGUCACUAACACAUAUCAUCCCUUACACAUGAAACCAUCUCUGUAUAAAUGGUAGGAGGAUAAUUGUUAUAGUGUAUUAUUUGGGAAUAAUGAAAAGAAAGAAGUCUGUAAUAUGUAAAUACUAUAAGAAUAAUUGUUAUAGUGUAUUAUUUAGGGAAUAAUAAUAAAAAAGUCUAUAUAUGUCCAAUACA